Molecule: ribosomal RNA, 453 nt
Filed under: uncultured Novosphingobium sp.
Lineage: Bacteria; Pseudomonadati; Pseudomonadota; Alphaproteobacteria; Sphingomonadales; Sphingomonadaceae
Description: bacterial SSU rRNA
Rfam family: Bacterial small subunit ribosomal RNA
Source: RNAcentral
AGAGUUUGAUCCUGGCUCAGAACGAACGCUGGCGGCAUGCCUAACACAUGCAAGUCGAACGAGACCUUCGGGUCUAGUGGCGCACGGGUGCGUAACACGUGGGAAUCUGCCCUUCGGUUCGGAAUAACAGUUAGAAAUGACUGCUAAUACCGGAUGAUGACGAAAGUCCAAAGAUUUAUCGCCGAAGGAUGAGCCCGCGUAGGAUUAGGUAGUUGGUGGGGUAAUGGCUCACCAAGCCGACGAUCCUUAGCUGGUCUGAGAGGAUGAUCAGCCACACUGGGACUGAGACACGGCCCAGACUCCUACGGGAGGUGGCAGUGGGGAAUAUUGGACAAUGGGCGAAAGCCUGAUCCAGCAAUGCCGCGUGAGUGAUGAAGGCCUUAGGGUUGUAAAGCUCUUUUACCAGGGAUGAUAAUGACAGUACCUGGAGAAUAAGCUCCGGCUAACUCCGUG